This 420-nucleotide ribosomal RNA is filed under the name uncultured bacterium. Its description in RNAcentral is "bacterial SSU rRNA". It matches the Rfam family "Bacterial small subunit ribosomal RNA", at positions 87 to 518 of the family's 1533-position model. The record is from RNAcentral.
GAAACUUAGUGGCGGACGGGUGAGUAACGCGUGGGUAACCUGCCUCAGUACAGGGGGAUAACAGUUAGAAAUGACUGCUAACACCGCAUAAUAUAGCGAAACCGCAUGAUUUUUGCUAUCAAAUAUUUAUAGGUAUGGAGAUGGGCCCGCGUCUGGAUUUAGCUAGUUAGGUGGGGUAAAAGCCUACCAAGGCGACGAUCAGUAGCCGGCUUGAGAGAGUGACCGGCCACAUUGGGACUGAGACACGGCCCAAACUCCUACGGGAGGCAGCAGUGGGGAAUAUUGGACAAUGGGGGAAACCCUGAUCCAGCCGACGCCGCGUGAGUGAAGAAGUAUUUCGGUAUGUAAAGCUCUAUCAGCAGGGAAGAUAAUGACAGUACCUGACUAAGAAGCCCCGGCUAACUACGUGCCAGCCGCGGC